Molecule: non-coding RNA, 148 nt
Filed under: Nomascus leucogenys (northern white-cheeked gibbon)
Lineage: Eukaryota; Metazoa; Chordata; Mammalia; Primates; Hylobatidae
Source: Rfam by way of RNAcentral
GCUGGGUAUGGUGGUGCAUACCUGUAAUCCCAGCUACUCGGGAGGCUGAGACAGGAGAAUUGCUUGAACCCGGGAGGUGGAGGUUGCAGUGAGCCAAGAUCGCGCCACUGCACUCCAGCCUGGGUGACAGAGAGAGACUCUGUCUCCA